CGUAUAUUAAAGUUGUUGCAGUUAAAAAGCUCGUAGUUGGAUUUGUGGUUUGUGGUGUGUUCCGGGCACUCGUGUCCGAGUAACUCGCCGCUGCCAUCCUUGGGUGGAACCUGUGUGGCAUUAGGUUGUCGGGCAGGGGAUGCCCAUCUUUUACUGUGAAAAAAUUAGAGUGUUCAAAGCAGGCUUAUGCCGUUGAAUAUAUUAGCAUGGAAUAAUGAGAUAGGACUUUUUGGCUAUUUUGUUGGUUUGCGCCAAGAGGUAAUGAUUAAUAGGGACAGUUGGGGG
RNAcentral lists this ribosomal RNA (285 nucleotides) under uncultured diatom. RNAcentral's name for it is "partial 18S ribosomal RNA". It matches the Rfam family "Eukaryotic small subunit ribosomal RNA", at positions 598 to 888 of the family's 1831-position model. The record is from RNAcentral. Lineage: Eukaryota; Bacillariophyta.